AGUGAACGUUGGCGGUAGGCCUAACACAUGCAAGUCGAACGGCAGCACAGUAAGAGCUUGCUCUUACGGGUGGCGAGUGGCGGACAGGUGAGGAAUACAUCGGAAUCUACUUUUUCGUGGGGGAUAACGUAGGGAAACUUACGCUAAUACCGCAUACGACCUACGGGUGAAAGCAGGGGAUCUUCGGACCUUGCGCGAUUGAAUGAGCCGAUGUCGGAUUAGCUAGUUGGCGGGGUAAAGGCCCACCAAGGCGACGAUCCGUAGCUGGUCUGAGAGGAUGAUCAGCCACACUGGAACUGAGACACGGUCCAGACUCCUACGGGAGGCAGCAGUGGGGAAUAUUGGACAAUGGGCGCAAGCCUGAUCCAGCCAUACCGCGUGGGUGAAGAAGGCCUUCGGGUUGUAAAGCCCUUUUGUUGGGAAAGAAAAGCAGCAGGUUAAUACCCCGCUGUUCUGACGGUACCCAAAGAAUAAGCACCGGCUAACUUCGUG
Molecule: ribosomal RNA, 492 nt
Filed under: uncultured bacterium
Lineage: Bacteria
Description: partial 16S ribosomal RNA
Rfam family: Bacterial small subunit ribosomal RNA
Source: RNAcentral